RNAcentral lists this long non-coding RNA (495 nucleotides) under Gallus gallus (chicken). The record is from RNAcentral. Lineage: Eukaryota; Metazoa; Chordata; Aves; Galliformes; Phasianidae.
GGGGGGGUUCCCAGGGGCGCGAAGCCGGGAGGGGGCAAACCGGGGCGGGGUGGGGGGGACCCCAGCGUGGAGGUCAGUCCGUGGGGCAGCGGCAGUCCUACAGCGUGCAGGAGGUGUCGGCCGCGCGCUUCCUGAGCUCCCUGCCGGCCUUAUGCUGGUGGUGGUGCGGAUGCGGGCCGGGCGGCUGCGUGUCCUGGGGGUGCCCGGCGCCGCGCGCCGCCUCCACGCGCAGAUACGCCUUCACCUUGUGCUGCCGCGCCGUGCCCUCGCUGGCGUCGAUCACGCGGCACUCGUAGGUGCCCUCAUCCGCCGGCUUCACCCGCGACAGCCGCAGUUUGUGCGAGAUGUUGCUGCCGACCACCUUCACCACACUGAUUUUUGUUGCGUCCUUCCCAGCCUCCUCCUGCUGUGAUGCUUUUAGCUGCUGGCCAGAAGCCCACGUCUGUUUGUCCGUCCAGUCCUUGUGGGUGCGGACGUACCACCACUGGAUUUCCA